CUUCUGCAUUGCAAGCAGAUGGAUUCUUUAUCCACAGCUGUUGGGGAAGCCCUAUCUUUAGUCUGCUUGCCCCAAACACGUAUACACGCCCUCUGGUGGACAGAUGACUUCUGACUGUGUACUUACAUCAUUUCUUUCUCACUGCAGUUGCACCUGGGCACAAGCUUUUCCAUUUCUCUUCUAACUCUACUGGCCUCCUAGAUGAUUUUGGGGAAUACAAUGGCUAAAAAUCAUAAACGAUGGAUAAAAUUUUCCCUUGCCAGGAGUGGACAGGAUGGAGGAGAAACAGGUUGGCUUCUGGAAGAAGGAAUCCUGAGCCUCACGGUCUAGCUGUGAUGCCGUGAACUUGUUAUGAAUGGCCUCUACUCUUUUUGGACAGAGGUAGGUUAUAAACAACAGCAAACUAUCACCUGCUCUCUCUGGGCCUUAGUGUUUUCAUCUGGAAAAUGAUUUCCAAAGAGUGCAGAAUUACCAUAGAAAAUUCCCAGUGGCUCUUGUUAAAGUCAGACUUCACAUGAGACCAGGUGAUUCUGGCUCACAGCCGGACCCAGUGGAUUAAAGGUGUCAUGUUUCAUCCUCUUGAGGCUAAUUUCCAGUUCAAAUCCUUCCACAAUCAUGUGUUCUGUGUCUUUGGGCAACAUACCUCAUGUCUCAGAGACUCUUAACCGGUGACUGUGUCACACUUUGAAAAUGUUAACUUGUAUUUUUCCUUUUCCUUCUUGGCUCCUCCACUCAUUGGUUGGUGCAGCUUCUCUUUCCCCAUAUCCCUUCCUGUGACAGCAGAAAGGAGAAGGAAAAGGAGCCCUCUUACUUGUGUUUUAAUAGCCUAGACCCUUUGGGGACCAGAAAGGGCUCAGAUCAGAGGGGAAAUAUUUUGGAGGAAACAAAGCAUGUGAAAAGAAGCCCUUUUCUACUCCCGUCUCUGCCCAGAAGACACAGGGAGGAGUCUUGGAGGGGAAGGAGGCCCAGUGUAGACACAGAGAGAUCCUUGGAGGAGCUUGGCUGAGCUGCAGAGAAGCAGCCACACAGAUGUGUUUGUGGGAGCCGAGGGCAGAGGAGAGCCCUGUCUGAGGCCUCCGGACUAGGGGAAGAAAUGGUUUCCUGAGGGGUUUUGAUAAGCAACGUACUGACAGCUUCAGUGUCUCUUCAACCUAAAAUGAAAAACGAGCAGUGGACAACUGUUGGGGGUCAUGAGGCCAAAAGUGGCCCUGGGGGUGGGGUGCAGAUGACUCUGCUGUGACUUGCAGGGGCAGCUGAUGACCACAUCCAGACGGCCUUUCUCCUGCCUCCCCCACCAAACCUCAGCAUUGCAUUGGCCUUUCUGAACCUCCUGUGUGAUCUCUGGAAGAAGGGUGGACUUGAAUUAGCUGAUGUUACAUCACCAGGUUGAUCAGACCAGAAGGAAUAUGUUCACCUAGCCGAUGCAAAUUUGAGGUGGAAAAUAAGGACCAAAGGGGUUGAAAUGAGGCAUGGGGUUUGGAAGUGCUGAGAAAAGUCAGCUCGGAAUAAAAAUGCAAAGAAAGAGGGUGGGAGGGAGGAUGGGAGAGAGAGGGAGGGGGAAGGAGAGAGAGAGAUUGACAAAUCAAUCCCCCAGCCACCAGCAGCCCAGCUGGUGGGCACCAGAUGGGAAAGCGAUGAUCUACAGAUCAGGGCCUGUUAACAAGGCUGAUGGCAACCCGAGGAAACCACCUGCAGCUGGCUUUGCAGAAAAUCAGCACCCAAGCAUGGGGCUUCCAGUAAUCCAUCACGGGAACCACCGAGCCAUGAACUUGUUAAACGGUAGCCGCUGGAGGCCGGCUCAGCUCACGCUCAGCUGCCAACGCAGCAAAUCUCUGCCACCGGAAGACCAGAUGGCACCAGCGGCAGCGGUGGUCUCACGGUCCCAACAUGCACCUUGGCAGAUGCUGGGUUUGGCAGCUCCCGGGUCAGCUGAACUAACAUUGCCAGCAUCUUCUGAGUGUUUGAGAGGCGCAUCUGUUCGCUCUGGCGGACCUUGUGAGAGUCCCAGCUGCUCGUGAUGGUGGCAGCUGACCCUUCCCAGGCAGAAUUGUAUUAGAGAUUUCCAUUUCCUGAACCCUGCUCAUCGGAUAUAGCCUGUUUCCAAUUACUGUACCUACCAGUAAUUAGAUGAGAACAAACUGAAAAAUGGCUUUCAUGGGAACCACCGGCACUGGAUUGGCUUUGAAGCUUUUAAUCUUAUUAUUAAUAAUAAACGUUUUGGUGAUGAA
This is a long non-coding RNA of Bubalus bubalis (water buffalo), 2228 nucleotides long. RefSeq lists it as uncharacterized. The record is from RefSeq and is a predicted model, not a curated record. The transcript is spliced from 2 exons. NCBI's taxonomy places the organism in Eukaryota, Metazoa, Chordata, Mammalia, Artiodactyla, Bovidae.